This 186-nucleotide ribosomal RNA is filed under the name uncultured bacterium. Its description in RNAcentral is "partial 16S ribosomal RNA". It matches the Rfam family "Bacterial small subunit ribosomal RNA", at positions 353 to 531 of the family's 1533-position model. The record is from RNAcentral.
GCCAGCGAAUAUUGGACAAUGGGCGAAAGCCUGAUCCGUAAUACCGCGUGUGUGAAGAAGGUCUUCGGUUAUCCAAAGCACUUUAAGUUGGGAGGAAGGGCAAGCACUAAUACGUUAGUGUUUUGAAAAUUACCGACAGAAUAAGCACCGGCUAACUUCGUGAGGUCAGCCGCGGUAAUACGAAGG